Molecule: long non-coding RNA, 535 nt
Organism: Myzus persicae (green peach aphid)
Lineage: Eukaryota; Metazoa; Arthropoda; Insecta; Hemiptera; Aphididae
Exons: 3
Source: RefSeq, a predicted model, not a curated record
AUUUAUGCUUAAAUUAUACUUAUUAAUUUUAAUCGAAUUAUGUUAUAUAUGCCCACUCAAAAUCGUCAGAAGGUGCAUUGCGAUUAUUCCACCAAGGUUAUAACUUAUAACGAAUUAUACAAUAAGCCUAUAAAUAAUAUUUAAUAAUACACGUAAAUACAUGAAAUACAAUAAAUGAAGCGACGGUGAUCCAUUACCUAAUAACACUUCAAAUUCGGAAGUCAGAACCAUUUAUUCGGGUUUUGACUGCUGCUGCAUGAUGCAUUCGAGUGUUUGAACCGGGAUAAAAAGAAUUUUCACAAACGUUGGAAGCUAAUAACAUCAAGAGUCGACAUUAAAAUAAUGGUCCAGGAGCGGUGCCGACAAAAUUAGUGCCAUAGUGCGAAAAUUCUGAGUACAUAUUUUCUGCUCGUGACGUACAGUCGGCGCUCGACACAAUAACAACAUUAUCGGCACUCCCCCGCCGACCGAGUGGUAUUGGGCCGACGAGGUUUUCGCAAGCGUUGACGAAAAAAACCCGAAUGAAAAAGAACGG